AAAAAUUAAGAGUAUAAAAUAAAAUUCUAAGAGUGGUAAAGAAAUACUUUAUCUAAUAUAGUUACUUUUGUUUUGUGUCAUUCUUAAAUUUCUUAGAUCGCCCGGGUCCAUCUAGUGCUCCUCCAAGACAGAAUCAAAGCUAGAACUUCGCUCUCCAUCACUGUGAGUAAUAAUAAAUAAUGCAGGUCAACAUGCAUUUGCAUAGCAUUUUUUUUACAAACCUUAUUUAUGGUAUAAUUGUAUAUUUGGAUGGAUUUGGUGUAAUACGUUGAAAGAAUUGUUUGAUUACUUGUGCUGUGCAUAUACUGUGCCUUGUUUGUGUGGAAUUGGGAU
Molecule: long non-coding RNA, 333 nt
Filed under: Jatropha curcas
Lineage: Eukaryota; Viridiplantae; Streptophyta; Magnoliopsida; Malpighiales; Euphorbiaceae
Description: long non-coding RNA (JCUR_LNC000610)
Source: RNAcentral